CCUAAAUCAAGUUUCUUUCCAAUGGACCUCUUUUGACUUUCCAAAUAGUCAUCCAUCUAUAGCAUUCCUCUGGUGGGACAGGUCCUAAAUAUAUGUUUUACCACCUCUUAGUUAUAGAGGAUUGUCUUGACACAUGGUUCACAUGAUCUCUAUGAUUGGAAUAGGAGAAGGGCAGAAUUCCUUAUGAUUAUCAAAGGAAACCAAACUAAAUAAUAGACUAACAUUUUGAUUAGCAUAAGUUAACUGAAUAACUUAACAAAGCAAACUGAUAACACCAUGCAAAUCCUAGAAAACUUAUAUAAGCAAGAUAAAAACUAUAAGUGAAUUUUAUUUUUACCCAGAGUCCAGUCAGUAGGAGUUACUGUGAUCAAACGAGUAGCUAAAAACCAAACAGAGAAUUAAGAAGCAAGGGGUGGCAAUUCAUUACAGUAUAAGAACUGUCUCAGAUGUUGAAAGAGUUCAUUAGUUCUGCUGGGAAGUUUAUCUUUCACAAUGCAUUGAUCAGCCAGUCCCUCCUGUGUGGCUGAAACAUGGCUGUAGUCUCCUCAAGCUUCGGCCGUGCAUAGACCAGUCAGCUUCCAGAGUGACUGGAACAGGGCUGUUGUCCUUCUGAUCCUCAAGCUUCUCUGGUGCUCCUUUUCUUGUCAGCUUCAAGGGCAUAGCAGCAUCUGGAGAGUACUCCCAGUACGCAGCUGCAGGCAUGAGUCUGGUGUAGUGAAUCGAGGGACCUAUCUCUGCAAACUUGACUGUAGUUGGGGUGGAUAAAAUAACAGUGAAAGGGCCCUUCCAAAGAAGUUUAGGGAUUGAAUAUUUCAUUCUUUGACCCAGACUCAAUCUGAUGUCUUGAAGGAGUGUGCACCUAUAGUCAAAUUUACUGUCAAUCAUUCUCUAACCCAUUGGUUGAGAACCUCUAAAGUUUUCCCUAAGGCCUGAAGCUGUUGUCUCAGGGUUAAUUUUCCUACCUCUCUUAAGUCUCCCUUUAGUCCCCUAAUAAGAGGAGGAACAUCCCAUAUAUUAUCUCAAAAGAAAAGAAUCCAUUCCUCCUAGUGGGAGUGGACCUAAUGUCAACAGUGUAAUAGUGGGAGUAAACCUAAUCCUCAACAGUGUAAUAGGAAGAAAU
This 1120-nucleotide long non-coding RNA is filed under the name Marmota monax (woodchuck). The record is from RNAcentral. Lineage: Eukaryota; Metazoa; Chordata; Mammalia; Rodentia; Sciuridae.